This is a long non-coding RNA of Lolium perenne, 1949 nucleotides long. RefSeq lists it as uncharacterized. NCBI's taxonomy places the organism in Eukaryota, Viridiplantae, Streptophyta, Magnoliopsida, Poales, Poaceae. The record is from RefSeq and is a predicted model, not a curated record.
UCUUCUCCACUAGGACAUUCUAGACACCGAAACGCCUAAAAGUAAACACGAAAGUUAUUCCCCACUCAACAACGGUUCAAUUCAGGGGAUUAAAAUCUGUUUUAGUGCACAGUAAAAUCGCCAAUUUUGGCCAUCAAGACCAUUACCGUUUUGGCUGAUUCCGUUCGUCUCCCGUCGCUCUACUCCCUCUCGCUGUGUAUAAAGCUACCCCGACCUUCCCAUCGCAUAUCACACCCCUCCACCGAUCCACGCCCCCAGGCUGCCCCUGUGGAGGGCGGAUUUCUUCGCCGAAGUUCCGACGGCCGCCGCGACGUCUCGUCGAAUUCUCUGGCCGGAGGUCCGUGCACGUGACACCAGUGUCGCUGUAGGUGUCCGCCACCAUCUCCAGGAGUUUCGACAGAGGAGUCCGAGUACGUUAUCAUCUGAAGCGUUUUUAUUCUUCGGAGACGCACACGCAGACGAAGCUAUUCUCCGCAGCCACGCACAACCUCUACGACUGGCGAAGUCUCGUUGAUUUCACGAAGAGUGACGGGAUAAUUUUUAUCAAGGAAGUAAUAUUGAUAAUUAUGUUGACAAGAUAAUUAUUCUUCAUCAAUGAAAGGCAAGUUACACAUGACCUUUUGUCCUACUAUUUUUGAAUAUGCAUGUUUUACAAGUAUUUUUGUAGAAACGCAUGUGUAGGAAAAUUAUGCUUUGCUAUCCUAGUAGAGAGCCAUAGGAUUUCUUACCAUGUUCCUUGUAGCCCUUUUUAUUAAAAUGCGUAUAUUGUAUGAGUGCUUAGCCAAUUGCUUGGUAGACGUGGGACAUGGGUUUUCAAAGAACAAAAUCAUUUAUGAAAAUUGACAUGCGCCCAUUCUGGGGUGAUAUGGUGAAAAUAUUUUUGAAAUAAAAACUUAUCAAAAUGUUUUCCUCUGGGCGGAGUGGUAUGUUGGGAGCGUCUACAAGAGCUGCAUCCAGUGAGUGGCUCUGCAGACUCAGGUUUUGGUGGGGACCGCCGCCCAGGGUCAAAGAGAUCUUCAAAGUUUCAGUUGAAGAAGCUUCCAGUACAACCACAUGCUAUAUGGGCUCUGGCUUAGUCGUACAUAGAGGGAAACCCUUGCAUCGGUACCGCCAUUGGAGAGGGGUCUUCGGAUCAUAGUUGCGGGCGGACUGGGAUUAUGUAUAGGGGGCUUCUAUGGAAAACUUCGUCAUGAUCCAUGCCCGGUUAAGCCAAAUGAAGGAUACAACAAAAAGGAUGGAUUGUGACAUGUGGGGAAAGUGUACAACCUCUGCAGAGUGUAUGAUCUAAUCGAUUAGCCGUGCUCCCGGAUAUGAGCAAUUUGAGCAACUGAAGAUUGAAGCGGAUGAAGGAUCUCCUAUGUUUUCAAAACCUUUUCAAAAAUUGUUUUGGCAUGCUAAGUUUAUCCAGUGAGUGGCUCUGAACUUAGGAUUGUCCGAACUGUUUUGCAAUUACUACUUUCAUCCAGUGAGUGGCUCUGGAGUUAGUUUAGCUUGUUUUGGGGAUGGGAUGUAGGAUGGUCAACCUUGGUGGAUUCCUUGUGUUUGUCCAUCCCUAUAUUAUUUUAUUUUAAAAAAAUAUAUAAAGACAAAGAAAGUUUCUAAAAAGAUUUUCACAAAACAAAAUUGGCUUUACGCAAAAUAAACCAUGAGCCUUCCUUUGACAUACCUUUGCAUGUAUAAAAAUAUAAACCACUUUGCAACUUGUGUAACUUGCCAAUACAUUCAAAGUAUUGACCAAAUAUUUUUGGCUGUAACUUUACCUGUUGCAGAUGACGAGUAAGGACGAUAGGAUCACGGGCCUAUACUCAACAAGCCGUGUGGCGUUGAUGAAGCCCAAGACGUACCUUUAUGUUUCCGCUGUAAUGUGAGCCAGCCACUAUGCUGUGCAAGAUUGUAAUAAACUCUGGAUUCAACGUUUGACUAAUAAAAUGACGUAUGUUAUAUCUUGA